RNAcentral lists this ribosomal RNA (120 nucleotides) under uncultured bacterium. Its description in RNAcentral is "partial 16S ribosomal RNA". It matches the Rfam family "Bacterial small subunit ribosomal RNA", at positions 215 to 334 of the family's 1533-position model. The record is from RNAcentral.
UCGCCAAAAGAUGAGUCCGCGUACGAUUAGCUAGUUGGUGAGGUAAUGGCUCACCAAGGCGACGAUCGUUAGCUGGUCUGAGAGGACGAUCAGCCACACUGGGACUGAGACACGGCCCAG